AAUACAUCGGAAUCUACUCUGUCGUGGGGGAGUAACGUAGGGAAACUUACGCUAAUACCGCAUACGACCUACGGGUGAAGCAGGGAUCUUCGGACCUUGCGCGAUUGAAUGAGCCGAUGUCGGAUUAGCUAGUUGGCGGGGUAAAGGCCCACCAAGGCGACGAUCCGUAGCUGGUCUGAGAGGAUGAUCAGCCACACUGGAACUGAGACACGGUCCAGACUCCUACGGGAGGCAGCAGUG
RNAcentral lists this ribosomal RNA (240 nucleotides) under uncultured Stenotrophomonas sp. RNAcentral describes it as "partial 16S ribosomal RNA". It matches the Rfam family "Bacterial small subunit ribosomal RNA", at positions 112 to 356 of the family's 1533-position model. Lineage: Bacteria; Pseudomonadati; Pseudomonadota; Gammaproteobacteria; Lysobacterales; Lysobacteraceae. The record is from RNAcentral.